CUACACUGAAAAAACGAACUUGGUGGUGUAGUAAAAUAUACUAAUUAAACUGUCCUGAUGUCUACAAUUAAAUUUUUCGUUUCUGCGGGAACUAGAUUUUGUCAAGUAAAAUUACAUGUAUGUACACAAUUUAUUUAUGUAUUUAAAAUGGCUGUGUGGAAGGAGUAAGUCUUAUUAUGGAUGUUUUCAUAACAUUUAAAUGUUUUUUAGUCUCUGCUAGAAACACUAAAAUACUGAGUAAAUUUUACGACACUAUUUUAGAGUGCGUUUGAAUCAGCGCAUGCGCAUUGGGACAAACGAAAGUACCGCGCAGAUGUCCAUUGUCCGUCCGUUCGUUGGCAGCAGACAGAGUUGUGAAUAUCUCCGGAAUCUCUCAGGCGACUGUUUUUGUAUUUAGCCGGCUGGGACAUGAGGUGACCAGAGAGAGUCAGGAGCGCUGGGCUGUUCAGUGACUAAUCAAAUACUGCACCGUUGUGAUUAGAUCAAGGAGGAGUUUUGGAGAAUAACUACAAUUUCUCUAGAGCAAAGCUUCAUGUACAAACUAGACCACUAUACACCAAAGCUUACUGCCCUGAUGAAAGCCAAGGGAGGUGUUGGAGGCAGGCUGAGGCCCCAUCUGGAUAAACUGAGUCAGAACCCGAGCACUGACAUGUGACGUGACGCAGUUAUCAGUGGCCUCAUACUAUUCCUUGGUGAAAAAGAAGAGAAACUUUUCGAAGAUUGCCUGGAGGACAAUCGCAGUGAUGCCACUCAACACAUAGUCAAGAUCCUGGUUGUCCAUGGUACUGAUGGAGAAGAACCAGUAGAUGUUUCCAUCAUUCUUGAAGGGAAGGAGGUAUUGACACGAUGCAACAGCACAGCCAAAGCUUGCACGUUGCUAAUGGGACUGAUUUAUUCCCUGAACCUUGCCUACCCCUGGACUCUGCGCUACACCUUUGAGGUGUUUCAAAAACUUUUCCUGGAACUGAAUGGGAUAAAGCUGUCACCAAAAGUACAUCUUUAAAGUUGAAGUUGCUGUCUGAAAGGAGUUUUCUUUCUUAAAUGUUCCUAAUGUUGUCAACAAAGGCAACUGCUGUCAUUCAUGCUCACAAGGUAAAAAAAAAGUUAAAAAUAACCUUUGUUUUAAAGGUUUUAACAGAGGAUUUGAUGUUGUCCUCAAACUUUAAUGUUUUAACCGAAUGCUAAUAUAAAUAUGUUAAUGGAUGUUGCGGUUUAGAAUGUUGUUCAUGUCAGUACAGCAUAUUUUGUCAGGUCAAACCCUCAAUCUGUUUUGUCACCUGAUGUGCCCUGUUUAGUUUAAUGCGUCCAGGAGUCAAAAACAUUUUGAUUUUCCAGUGAUAUGCUUUUUUUCUGUAUAGCGUAAUGAUCACUCAGUAAAGGUAAACUUUUUUCUUUAUUGAUGCUUGAUUGAUGCUUUAUUGAUUUACUGCUGCUGAGAUUUCAUUUAAUUUUUUGUCAUGUGAAAUGUUGACUGCUGUUUCAUGUACAGUUCUACAUAGCUGUAUAAAAUGAGGUGUUACGUAAGGUACCUGACAAAGGUUUAUGAAUAAAUAAUGGAAUUGUAUUUUAGCCGUGUGAUUAUUAAUAGUAUUUGGUAAUAUUUAUCAAAAGAGAAUUUGCAACAUUUACAUAAAUGAAUUAGGUAAUAUAACUUCAAACAACCAAGUAAUUAAAAUGAUCAAACAGGAUAAAAAGUACUUGAUAAUUUUACGACAGUAAAUAUCAAAGAUAAAUAAAAUCUACUCAAUAUUUUGAUGUUGUAAAUGUAUAUGUAUACAAAAAAUAUAGUAUAUUGUACUUAAUUUGUGUGUGUAAUAAAAAUUGAAACAUCAGUUAAACUAAGUAACACUUACCUAAUAUUUUCACAAAUGUUACCAUCAGAAAUAAGUAGAUUUUACUUAAUACUAUUAAGGAACUUUUACUGGAUAUCACAGCAGUAAAAUUUACUCAAAAAUUUUGAGUGCAAAUUGUUACGAG
Molecule: long non-coding RNA, 1977 nt
Organism: Gasterosteus aculeatus aculeatus (three-spined stickleback)
Lineage: Eukaryota; Metazoa; Chordata; Actinopteri; Perciformes; Gasterosteidae
Source: Ensembl